GAUGAACGCUAGCGAUAGGCCUAACACAUGCAAGUCGAGGGGCAUCACAUGAAGUAGCAAUACGGAUGGUGGCGACCGGCGCACGGGUGAGUAACACGUAUGCAACCUGCCUUCAACAAGGGGAUAACCCGUUGAAAGACGGACUAAUACCCUAUAACACAGGGGUCCCGCAUGGGAAUAUUUGUUAAAGGACAACCGGUUGAAGAUGGGCAUGCGUUCCAUUAGCUAGUUGGCGGGGUAACGGCCCACCAAGGCAACGAUGGAUAGGGGAACUGAGAGGUUUAUCCCCCACACUGGUACUGAGACACGGACCAGACUCCUACGGGAGGCAGCAGUGAGGAAUAUUGGUCAAUGGACGCAAGUCUGAACCAGCCACGUCGCGUGAAGGAAGACGGCCCUACGGGUUGUAAACUUCUUUUAUACGGGGAAUAAAGUGCCCCAACGCGUGGGGUUUUGCAUGUACCGUAUGAAUAAGGAUCGGCUAACUCCGUGCCAGCAGCCGCGGUAAAU
This 510-nucleotide ribosomal RNA is filed under the name uncultured bacterium. RNAcentral's name for it is "bacterial SSU rRNA". It matches the Rfam family "Bacterial small subunit ribosomal RNA", at positions 28 to 525 of the family's 1533-position model. The record is from RNAcentral.